This 481-nucleotide ribosomal RNA is filed under the name uncultured bacterium. Its description in RNAcentral is "partial 16S ribosomal RNA". It matches the Rfam family "Bacterial small subunit ribosomal RNA", at positions 28 to 507 of the family's 1533-position model. The record is from RNAcentral.
GAUGAACGCUGGCGGCGUGCUUAACACAUGCAAGUCGAACGAAGCACUUUAUUUGAUUUCCUUCGGGACUGAUUAUUUUGUGACUGAGUGGCGGACGGGUGAGUAACGCGUGGGUAACCUGCCUUGUACAGGGGGAUAACAGUUGGAAACGGCUGCUAAUACCGCAUAAGCGCACAGCAUCGCAUGAUGCAGUGUGAAAAACUCCGGUGGUAUAAGAUGGACCCGCGUUGGAUUAGCUAGUUGGUGAGGUAACGGCCCACCAAGGCGACGAUCCAUAGCCGACCUGAGAGGGUGACCGGCCACAUUGGGACUGAGACACGGCCCAAACUCCUACGGGAGGCAGCAGUGGGGAAUAUUGCACAAUGGGCGAAAGCCUGAUGCAGCGACGCCGCGUGAGCGAAGAAGUAUUUCGGUAUGUAAAGCUCUACCAGCAGGGAAGAUAAUGACGGUACCUGACUAAGAAGCACCGGCUAAAUACGUG